AGAAAUCAUACCAAUUGUUGUCUCUGUUUCAUUUAUAUUUCAAAAUAAAUUUAGGAAAUAAUUUUUAUUUAUGCUACCAAACAUGGCAAAAGGUUUUUAACUUAUUUCUUUUUCUUAAAUUUGAAUAAAUCUUAAUUUAAUUUAGUUCAUUGUAUUAAGUAUUAACUUGUUUUUUAAACUUAAGUUUUAAAACAAAAUGCUUUUAAGAUUUAAGUUGGAAAUUCCAUUUCAAAACUACAUUUACUUUUUCAUACCCAUCAUUUUAUUUUUUAUUUUUUUAAUCAAAAUG
RNAcentral lists this long non-coding RNA (289 nucleotides) under Vitis vinifera (wine grape). RNAcentral describes it as "long non-coding RNA (VVIN_LNC007319)". The record is from RNAcentral. Lineage: Eukaryota; Viridiplantae; Streptophyta; Magnoliopsida; Vitales; Vitaceae.